RNAcentral lists this ribosomal RNA (836 nucleotides) under Nocardia sp. IM-4165. Its description in RNAcentral is "bacterial SSU rRNA". It matches the Rfam family "Bacterial small subunit ribosomal RNA", at positions 38 to 889 of the family's 1533-position model. The record is from RNAcentral. Lineage: Bacteria; Bacillati; Actinomycetota; Actinomycetes; Mycobacteriales; Nocardiaceae.
GGCGGCGUGCUUAACACAUGCAAGUCGAGCGGUAAGGCCCUUCGGGGUACACGAGCGGCGAACGGGUGAGUAACACGUGGGUGAUCUGCCUCGCACUUCGGGAUAAGCCUGGGAAACUGGGUCUAAUACCGGAUAUGACCACUGGUCGCAUGGUUGGUGGUGGAAAGAUUUAUCGGUGCGAGAUGGGCCCGCGGCCUAUCAGCUUGUUGGUGGGGUAAUGGCCUACCAAGGCGACGACGGGUAGCCGGCCUAAGAGGGCGACCGGCCACACUGGGACUGAGACACGGCCCAGACUCCUACGGGAGGCAGCAGUGGGGAAUAUUGCACAAUGGGCGAAAGCCUGAUGCAGCGACGCCGCGUGAGGGAUGACGGCCUUCGGGUUGUAAACCUCUUUCGACAGGGACGAAGCGUAAGUGACGGUACCUGUAGAAGAAGCACCGGCCAACUACGUGCCAGCAGCCGCGGUAAUACGUAGGGUGCGAGCGUUGUCCGGAAUUACUGGGCGUAAAGAGCUUGUAGGCGGUUUGUCGCGUCGUCUGUGAAAACUCACAGCUCAACUGUGAGCUUGCAGGCGAUACGGGCAGACUUGAGUACUGCAGGGGAGACUGGAAUUCCUGGUGUAGCGGUGAAAUGCGCAGAUAUCAGGAGGAACACCGGUGGCGAAGGCGGGUCUCUGGGCAGUAACUGACGCUGAGAAGCGAAAGCGUGGGUAGCGAACAGGAUUAGAUACCCUGGUAGUCCACGCCGUAAACGGUGGGCGCUAGGUGUGGGUUUCCUUCCACGGGAUCCGUGCCGUAGCUAACGCAUUAAGCGCCCCGCCUGGGGAGUACGGCCGC